This 367-nucleotide ribosomal RNA is filed under the name uncultured organism. Its description in RNAcentral is "bacterial LSU rRNA". It matches the Rfam family "Bacterial large subunit ribosomal RNA", at positions 2099 to 2465 of the family's 2925-position model. The record is from RNAcentral.
CUUUACUGUAACCUGGUAUUGGGUUCGGGCUUUGACUGCGCAGGAUAGGUGGGAGACUAUGAAGUGCUGCUUGUGGGUAGCAUGAGUCAACAGUGAGAUACCACUCUGUCAGAGCUAGAAUUCUAACCUUCACCCAUGAUCUGGGGAAGGAACCGUAUCAGGCGGGCAGUUUGACUGGGGCGGUCGCCUCCUAAAUGGUAACGGAGGCGCGCAAAGGUGUUCUCAGGCUGGUUGGAAAUCAGCCGCAGAGUGUAAAGGCAGAAGAACGCUUGACUGUGAGAGUGACAACUCAAGCAGGGUGGAAACACGGCCUUAGUGAUCCGACGGCUUGUGCGUGGAAAUGCCGUCGCUCAACGGAUAAAAGUUA